CUAGUCUUGCCGGUGGAUCACUCGGCUCGUGGGUCGAUGAAGAUCGCAGCCAAAUGCGAUAGCUUGUGCGAACUGCAGAUAUUCUGAGCACUGAGAUGUCGAAUGUACAUUACGCCUUGGGACCUACCUCCCUUGGCACGCCUGGUUCAGGGUCGUUU
Molecule: ribosomal RNA, 158 nt
Filed under: Hemicriconemoides silvaticus
Lineage: Eukaryota; Metazoa; Nematoda; Chromadorea; Rhabditida; Criconematidae
Description: 5.8S ribosomal RNA
Rfam family: 5.8S ribosomal RNA
About the family: 5.8S ribosomal RNA (5.8S rRNA) is a component of the large subunit of the eukaryotic ribosome. It is transcribed by RNA polymerase I as part of the 45S precursor that also contains 18S and 28S rRNA. Functionally, it is thought that 5.8S rRNA may be involved in ribosome translocation.
Source: RNAcentral